CCCGAGAUGAGUUCUCCCUGAGACUUUAAGUCUCCUGAAGGAACGUUAAAGACGAUGACGUUGAUAGGCCGGGUGUGUAAGCGCAGCGAUGCGUUGAGCUAACCGGUACUAAUGAACCGUGAGGCUUAACCUUACAACGCCGAAG
This 145-nucleotide ribosomal RNA is filed under the name Acinetobacter baumannii. RNAcentral's name for it is "partial 23S ribosomal RNA". It matches the Rfam family "Bacterial large subunit ribosomal RNA", at positions 2798 to 2925 of the family's 2925-position model. Lineage: Bacteria; Pseudomonadati; Pseudomonadota; Gammaproteobacteria; Moraxellales; Moraxellaceae. RNAcentral also lists the same sequence under 2 other names. The record is from RNAcentral.